GGACGGGUGAGUAACGCUUGGGAAUCUGCCUAUUAGUGGGGGACAACCCGGGGAAACUCGGGCUAAUACCGCAUACGCACUACGGUGGAAAGCCGGGGACCGCAAGGCCUGGCGCUAAUAGAUGAGCCCAAGUCGGAUUAGCUAGUUGGUAGGGUAAUGGCCUACCAAGGCGACGAUCCGUAACUGGUCUGAGAGGACGACCAGUCACACCGGAACUGAGACACGGUCCGGACUCCUACGGGAGGCAGCAGUGGGGAAUAUUGGACAAUGGGCGAAAGCCUGAUCCAGCGACGCCGCGUGGGUGAAGAAGGCCUGCGGGUUGUAAAGCCCUUUCAGUGGGGAAGAAAAGCCUCGACCUAACAUGUCGGGGUCUUGACGUAACCCAUAGAAGAAGCACCGGCUAACUCUGUGCCAGCAGCCGCGGUAAUACAGAGGGUGCGAGCGUUAAUCGGAAUUACUGGGCGUAAAGCGCGCGUAGGCGGCUUCGCAAGUCGGAUGUGAAAUCCCCGGGCUCAACCUGGGAACUGCAUUCGAGACUGCGUUGCUAGAGUAUGGGAGAGGGAAGUGGAAUUUCCGGUGUAGCGGUGAAAUGCGUAGAUAUCGGAAGGAACAUCAGUGGCGAAAGCGACUUCCUGGACCAAUACUGACGCUCAUGUGCGAAAGCGUGGGGAGCAAACAGGAUUAGAUACCCUGGUAGUCCACGCCAUAAACGAUGAGAACUGGAUGUCGGGAGGGUCUGCCUCUCGGUGUCGUAGCUAACGCGUUAAG
RNAcentral lists this ribosomal RNA (768 nucleotides) under uncultured bacterium. RNAcentral describes it as "bacterial SSU rRNA". It matches the Rfam family "Bacterial small subunit ribosomal RNA", at positions 100 to 864 of the family's 1533-position model. The record is from RNAcentral.